GAUGAACGCUAGCGGCAGGCUUAACACAUGCAAGUCGAGGGGCAGCGCGGGAUAGCAAUAUCCUGGCGGCGACCGGCGGAAGGGUGCGUAACGCGUGAGCGACAUGCCCGUUGCCCGGGGACAACCGGUGGAAACGCCGACUAAUCCCCGAUGGGAUACGAUGCUUCAUGGCAUUGUAUUGAAAGUUACGGCGGCGACGGAUUGGCUCGCGUCCGAUUAGCUUGUUGGCGGGGUAACGGCCCACCAAGGCUACGAUCGGUAGGGGUUCUGAGAGGAAGGCCCCCCACAAUGGGACUGAGACACGGCCCAUACUCCUACGGGAGGCAGCAGUGAGGAAUAUUGGUCAAUGGGCGGAAGCCUGAACCAGCCAUGCCGCGUGCGGGAAGGAGGCCCUAUGGGCUGUGAACCGCUUUUGCCUGGGGGCAAUAAGGGCGUCGCGCACGUCCGAUGAGAGUACC
RNAcentral lists this ribosomal RNA (458 nucleotides) under uncultured bacterium. RNAcentral's name for it is "bacterial SSU rRNA". It matches the Rfam family "Bacterial small subunit ribosomal RNA", at positions 28 to 479 of the family's 1533-position model. The record is from RNAcentral.